CAGUAGCCGCGGGAAUACGGAGGGUGCAAGCGUUAAUCGGAAUUACUGGGCGUAAAGCGUGCGUAGGCGGUGAGUUAAGUCUGCUGUGAAAUCCCCGGGCUCAACCUGGGAAUGGCAGUGGAUACUGGCUCGCUAGAGUGUGUCAGAGGAUGGUGGAAUUCCCGGUGUAGCGAUGAAAUGCGUAGAGAUCGGGAGGAACAUCAGUGGCGAAGGCGGCCAUCUGGGACAACACUGACGCUGAGGCACGAAAGCGUGGGGAGCAAACAGGAUUAGAUACCCGGGUAGUCCCUGUCUCUUAUAC
Molecule: ribosomal RNA, 301 nt
Filed under: uncultured bacterium
Lineage: Bacteria
Description: partial 16S ribosomal RNA
Rfam family: Bacterial small subunit ribosomal RNA
Source: RNAcentral